GAUGAACGCUGGCGGCGUGCCUAAUACAUGCAAGUCGAGCGAACAGACGAGGAGCUUGCUCCUCUGACGUUAGCGGCGGACGGGUGAGUAACACGUGGAUAACCUACCUAUAAGACUGGGAUAACUUCGGGAAACCGGAGCUAAUACCGGAUAAUAUAUUGAACCGCAUGGUUCUAUAGUGAAAGACGGUUUUGCUGUCACUUAUAGAUGGAUCCGCGCCGCAUUAGCUAGUUGGUAAGGUAACGGCUUACCAAGGCAACGAUGCGUAGCCGACCUGAGAGGGUGAUCGGCCACACUGGAACUGAGACACGGUCCAGACUCCUACGGGAGGCAGCAGUAGGGAAUCUUCCGCAAUGGGCGAAAGCCUGACGGAGCAACGCCGCGUGAGUGAUGAAGGUCUUCGGAUCGUAAAACUCUGUUAUUAGGGAAGAACAAAUGUGUAAGUAACGAUGCACGUCUUGACGGUACCUAACCAGAAAGCCACGGCUAACUACGU
RNAcentral lists this ribosomal RNA (496 nucleotides) under uncultured bacterium. RNAcentral describes it as "partial 16S ribosomal RNA". It matches the Rfam family "Bacterial small subunit ribosomal RNA", at positions 28 to 506 of the family's 1533-position model. The record is from RNAcentral.